GUCGUGACUGCGUGCCUUUUGAAGAAUGAGCCUGCGAGUUUGCGGCAUGUUGCGAGGUUAACCCGUGUGGGGGAGCCGUAGCGAAAGCGAGUCCUAAGAGGGCGGUUGAGUAGCGUGUUCAAGACCCGAAGCGGAGUGAUCUAGCCAUGGGCAGGGUGAAGCGGAGGUAAGACUUCGUGGAGGCCCGAACCCACCAGGGUUGAAAACCUGGGGGAUGACCUGUGGUUAGGGGUGAAAGGCCAAUCAAACUCCGUGAUAGCUGGUUCUCCCCGAAAUGCAUUUAGGUGCAGCGUCGUGUGUUUCUUGCCGGAGGUAGAGCACUGGAUAGGCGAUGGGCCCUACCGGGUUACUGACCUUAGCCAAACUCCGAAUGCCGGUAAGUGAGAGCGCGGCAGUGAGACUGUGGGGGAUAAGCUCCAUGGUCGAGAGGGAAACAGCCCAGAGCAUCGACUAAGGCCCCUAAGCGUGUGCUAAGUGGGAAAGGAUGUGGAGUCGCAGAGACAACCAGGAGGUUGGCUUAGAAGCAGCCAUCCUUGAAAGAGUGCGUAAUAGCUCACUGGUCAAGUGAUUCCGCGCCGACAAUGUAGCGGGGCUCAAGCACACCGCCGAAGUCGUGUCACUCCAACAAUACUUUUAACGAGGGUUGGGGUGGGUAGGGGAGCGUCGUGUGCCGGGUGAAGCAGCCGUGGAAACGAGUUGUGGACGGUACGCGAGUGAGAAUGCAGGCAUGAGUAGCGAUACGCACGUGAGAAACGUGCGCGCCGAUUGAC
RNAcentral lists this non-coding RNA (770 nucleotides) under Streptomycetaceae bacterium MP113-05. Its description in RNAcentral is "Bacterial large subunit ribosomal RNA". It matches the Rfam family "Bacterial large subunit ribosomal RNA", at positions 590 to 1345 of the family's 2925-position model. The record is from Rfam by way of RNAcentral. Lineage: Bacteria; Bacillati; Actinomycetota; Actinomycetes; Kitasatosporales; Streptomycetaceae.